Molecule: long non-coding RNA, 415 nt
Organism: Glossina fuscipes
Lineage: Eukaryota; Metazoa; Arthropoda; Insecta; Diptera; Glossinidae
Exons: 2
Source: RefSeq, a predicted model, not a curated record
UAGGCUGCUUAUAAAAAAAAAAUAAAAAAAUUAAAUAAAGUUUAGAAGGUUAUCAAGGAGAUGGGGACCAAUACAAUUCUCUCUUACUUGUCAUUUAUAUAUUUCUUUAUUUGAAACAGAAACACAAUCAUCAGAGUCUUUGGGGUCAUCGGUCGAUGGCUCUCAGGGUAUCAUAUGCUCUUUAUGUUGCGAAAAUCUUACAAAGAAAGAUGAAGCCUUCGUCAUUACUUGUGGACAUCUAUUUCAUUCCCAAUGCAUUCAAGUUUGGAGACUCCUAUAUAAGAAUUGUCCAAAGUGUCGCAAAUCUACUCCAAAGCUGAUGAAAGUCUUACCAAUUUUUACCCAAAAUCCAAACGAAGAGACGAUAUUGGACACAUCAGAAGAGAUGAUAAAAAUUUUGGAAACAGAAAUUAAA